RNAcentral lists this ribosomal RNA (279 nucleotides) under uncultured bacterium. Its description in RNAcentral is "partial 16S ribosomal RNA". It matches the Rfam family "Bacterial small subunit ribosomal RNA", at positions 506 to 784 of the family's 1533-position model. The record is from RNAcentral.
UGCCAGCCGCCGCGGUAAUACGGAGGGGGUUAGCGUUGUUCGGAAUCACUGGGCGUAAAGCGCACGUAGGCGGACUUUUAAGUCAGGGGUGAAAUCCCGAGGCUCAACCUCGGAACUGCCUUUGAUACUGGAAGUCUUGAGUUCGAGAGAGGUUAGUGGAAUUCCCAGUGUAGAGGUGAAAUUCGUAGAUAUUGGGAAGAACACCAGUGGCGAAGGCGGCUAACUGGCUCGGUACUGACGCUGAGAUGCGAAAGCGUGGGGAGCAAACAGGAUUAGAUA